AUGGCUGUCGUCAGCUCGUGCCGUGAGGUGUUGCCUUAAGUGGCGCAACGAGCGCAACCCCUGUCCUUAGUUGCCAGCGGGUAAUGCCGGGAACUCUAGGGAGACUGCCGGUGCCAAACCGGAGGAAGGUGGGGAUGACGUCAAGUCAUCAUGCCCCUUAUGUCCAGGGCUGCACACAUGCUACAAUGCGCGAUACAGAGGGUUGCGAUCCCGCAAGGGGGAGCGAAUCCCAAAAAGUCGCGCUCAGUUCGGAUCGGGGUCUGCAACUCGACCCCGUGAAGUCGGAGUCGCUAGUAAUCGCAGAUCAGCAAUGCUGCGGUGAAUACGUUCCCGGGCCUUGUACACACCGCCCGUCACACCACGAAAGUGGGCAACACCCGAAGCCGGUGGCCUAACCCUUGUGGAGGGAGCUGUCGAAGGUGGGAUCGGUGAUUGGGGUGAAGUCGUAACAAGGUAGCCGUACCGGAAGGUGCGGCUGGAUCACCUCCUUUCUAAGGAGUAUGUGCUGGAUCAUUCCGAUCCGGUCACUCCCAAGUUGACCACUAGCUACUCGGCUGUCCGGUACAUCGUCCUUUUGCAGGUUUCGACCUCGAGGGCGUUGCGCAGGUCAGUUGGACAACCUCUGUUCCGUUUUCCGGGGGCACCUUGCCGGUGCUCCCGAUCAGUCACUCCGGUGGCUGAGGGAAAAGGUAAAGCCGACCUAUCGGGUCGGCCUCUUGCCGUCCCGGCUCAUAAACUGCUUCACGGCAGGGUGAGUCGUGCCCUUUGAGAAUUCCAUAGCGAGCACGAGCAUCUUUUGUUUUCCAAGCUAUGAAGAGCCAACGGUGGAUGCCUUGGCGCCUGAAGCCGAUGAAGGACGUGGGUGGCUGCGAUAAGCCACGGGGAGCUGCCUACCAAGCUUCGAUCCGUGGAUGUCCGAAUGGGGAAACCCGG
RNAcentral lists this small RNA (933 nucleotides) under uncultured Actinomycetales bacterium. RNAcentral's name for it is "bacterial SSU rRNA". The stretch from base 1 to 491 matches the Rfam family "Bacterial small subunit ribosomal RNA", at positions 1045 to 1533 of the family's 1533-position model. The record is from RNAcentral. Lineage: Bacteria; Bacillati; Actinomycetota; Actinomycetes; Actinomycetales.